RNAcentral lists this transfer RNA (77 nucleotides) under Caudoviricetes sp. Its description in RNAcentral is "tRNA-Trp". It matches the Rfam family "tRNA". Rfam says of the family: Transfer RNA (tRNA) molecules are approximately 80 nucleotides in length. Their secondary structure includes four short double-helical elements and three loops (D, anti-codon, and T loops). Further hydrogen bonds mediate the characteristic L-shaped molecular structure. tRNAs have two regions of fundamental functional importance: the anti-codon, which is responsible for specific mRNA codon recognition, and the 3' end, to which the tRNAs corresponding amino acid is attached (by aminoacyl-tRNA synthetases). tRNAs cope with the degeneracy of the genetic code in two manners: having more than one tRNA (with a specific anti-codon) for a particular amino acid; and 'wobble' base-pairing, i.e. permitting non-standard base-pairing at the 3rd anti-codon position. The record is from RNAcentral. Lineage: Duplodnaviria; Heunggongvirae; Uroviricota; Caudoviricetes.
GCCGUCUUAGCUCAUUCUGGAAGAGCGCCGGUCUCCAAAACCGGAAGCGGGAGGUUCGAUACCUCCAGACGGCGCCA